RNAcentral lists this long non-coding RNA (427 nucleotides) under Physcomitrium patens. RNAcentral's name for it is "long non-coding RNA (PPAT_LNC011028)". The record is from RNAcentral. Lineage: Eukaryota; Viridiplantae; Streptophyta; Bryopsida; Funariales; Funariaceae.
UUUAUGAGUUAUUGAUUAUGUAAUUGGAGUACUGAGUGAUUGAAUUAUAUGAGAAGUUAUUGAAAGAUUGAUUAUAGAUGGAAGAUUAUGAUUGUUGUUUAUUGAGAGUUGUGUGUGUGUUUUGACAGAGGAAGUCUAUGAUUACAAGAAUUUUGUGAAUUCAGAUUGGUUGGAGUGAAGUUUGUUAUUCCUGAUAUUGGAUGGAAUUUAUUGAGUGUUGAGUAGUCUUUUGAGAGUGCAAGGUUGUAUAUUGUGGUUAUCAGUUGAUGAAGGAGUAUUGUUACUGGGAGGAAGCAUUGUAGUAUUUCUUAUUGUUUUAGUAGUUUGAAAUACAGUUAAUUGUGUGAUCCUAAUAAGUAAAACUCAUGUGCUUAGUCUUUUCUUGUGUUCAAAUUCUCCUAUAUAGGUUUAUUCUGGGAGGUUUCUU